GAUGGGAGAAUGACAAAUUAGAUUUUUCCUACUGAUUUUCAGAUUUUUCCUCCUGAAAAAUUUAAAUCCAACUAAAAAUGCCAAAAAUUAGAAGGAAAUCUGAUUUGUUAUUCUCUCAUU
Molecule: non-coding RNA, 120 nt
Organism: Gossypium raimondii (Peruvian cotton)
Lineage: Eukaryota; Viridiplantae; Streptophyta; Magnoliopsida; Malvales; Malvaceae
Source: Rfam